This is an RNA transcript of Carlito syrichta (Philippine tarsier), 538 nucleotides long. It is a transcript of the gene named neudesin pseudogene, with no coding region annotated. Lineage: Eukaryota; Metazoa; Chordata; Mammalia; Primates; Tarsiidae. The record is from RefSeq and is a predicted model, not a curated record. The transcript has 2 exons.
GCGGCCCCCGUGGGGUGGGGGCUUCGGCGGCUGGCAGCGCUGGCCCUGGUCCUGGCACUGGUCCGGGGACUGCCUGCCAACCCAGGCUGCGCAGCCGGUGCGCCCUGCCGAGUGGGCACCCCGGGUGUGGCACUUCACAGAGGAGAAGCUGGCCCAUUAAGGCCGGAGGAGGAUGAUCAGCCCAUCUACUUGGCAGUAAAGGGAGUGGUGUUUGAUGCCACUUCUGGAAAGGAGUUUAACGGACGAGGAGCCCCCUACAAUGUCCUUUUUUUUUUUGACUCAAUGUCUUGACUAAGAAGGAUGUCCCUAGAUCCUGCAGACCUCACCCAUGAUACUACGGAUCUCACGGCGAAGGAGCUGGAGUCCCUGGAUUAUGUCUUCACCAAAGUGUACAGAGCCAAAUAUCCCAUCAUUGGCUACACAGCCUGGAGAAUUCUCAACCAGGACGGCAGCCCCAACCUGGACUUCAAGCCUGAAGACCAGUCCCAUUUUGACAUCAAGGACAAGUUCUGAUGCUCCAUUUACAGGAGCAGGUUCU